Molecule: ribosomal RNA, 507 nt
Filed under: Chiromantis xerampelina (African gray treefrog)
Lineage: Eukaryota; Metazoa; Chordata; Amphibia; Anura; Rhacophoridae
Description: partial 12S ribosomal RNA
Rfam family: Bacterial small subunit ribosomal RNA
Source: RNAcentral
GCCUAACCUCNAAAAAUCUAUUUACUCCUACUACCGCCAGGGUAACUACGAGCCUUAGCUUAAAACCCAAAGGACUUGACGGUGUCCCACCCAACUAGAGGAGCCUGUCCUAUAAUCGAUACUCCACAUCGAUACUCCACGUUAUACCUAGCCACUUUUUGCUUAUCAGCCUGUACACCUCCGUCGUAAGCUUACCAUAUGAACGCACAACAGUAGGCAUAAGGACCACACGCCACAAUGGCAGGUCAAGGUGCAGCUCACAAAGUGGAAGAGAUGAGCUACAAUUUCUAAAUUAGAACAUACGAAACAUUAUAUGAAACAUAAUCAUGAGGGUGGAUUUAGUAGUAAGUGGGGAAUAGAGAGCCCCACUUAACUCGGCCCUGGGACGUGUACAAACCGCCCGUCGCCCUCUUCAAUAGCCCAACAUUAGUCUAUAACACAACACAAGCGCCUUAGAAGAGGUAAGUCGUAACAUGGUAAGUAUACUGGAAAGUGUACUUGGAACAA